RNAcentral lists this ribosomal RNA (274 nucleotides) under uncultured bacterium. RNAcentral describes it as "partial 16S ribosomal RNA". It matches the Rfam family "Bacterial small subunit ribosomal RNA", at positions 523 to 796 of the family's 1533-position model. The record is from RNAcentral.
AUACAGAGGGUGCGAGCGUUAAUCGGAUUUACUGGGCGUAAAGCGUGCGUAGGCGGCUUUUUAAGUCGGAUGUGAAAUCCCUGAGCUUAACUUAGGAAUUGCAUUCGAUACUGGGAAGCUAGAGUAUGGGAGAGGAUGGUAGAAUUCCAGGUGUAGCGGUGAAAUGCGUAGAGAUCUGGAGGAAUACCGAUGGCGAAGGCAGUCAUCUGGCCUAAUACUGACGCUGAGGUACGAAAGCAUGGGGAGCAAACAGGAUUAGAAACCCUAGUAGUCC